This 31-nucleotide non-coding RNA is filed under the name Mus musculus (house mouse). The record is from RNAcentral. Lineage: Eukaryota; Metazoa; Chordata; Mammalia; Rodentia; Muridae.
UNUGAACUAUUGCUGACACAAAUACAGGCCU